AGCUUCACAUUUGCACAAGUACUCGAAGACUCUCGAAGAGAGAAGUUUGUCUCAAAAAAUCGCUGUUUAAUCAAGCUAAAUUUAAGGUAAGAAUCUUUAGUCUUUUACUGUGAAUUUGCUUUAAGCUUUGUCAAUCGAAGGGCGACUUAUAUAUAUGUUUUUGAAACGCGACUAAAUUCAUGAACCGUUCGCUAAUAGAAUUCGUUCAAAUAUUUUUUCUGCAUGAGGAGUCGCCACGUGUAUUGUACGGCCUUUCAAAGUUUUGGCUAUUUCUUAACGUUUUCGAUAAAAUAUUGUAGCAUUAAACUUCAGAAUCCUUGUCUUUUGUCUUCCUAUAACUUAUAUUUCUUUUCUUCCAAUUUUAGGCCAGAAAGUUCCGCGAGAAAUUCGCUCAAGCCAUAGACUGGUCAUAAAGCCAUGUGGGGAUAUAUAACCAGGUAUAUAUAUGUAAUGUUUCUCUAUAAAUAUUUGUCCUAAAAUAGAAUUAACGCUUACUUUUAAGAAUUGUUAAGUAUCCUGGUAGAUUUAUAGUCAUCUUAUAACAGUCUAGUCUAAACUUUGGUCAACUUUUACUCACGAUAAUACCUAGAAUAAAAGCGGUUGGCUUUACUCAAACGGUUUGGUCGUACUUCAUCCGUACUGUACAGUUUGACCACAAUUUUGUACGAUAUUUUUGAGACUUCUUGGUCGAAAAUUCUGAAAUUAAUUUGCUAUUUCUUUGAGCUUAUGUUGCAAUUAGACUGAGAGUUUUGUUCUAAAUAGCUCGCCGUUCGCUUAUUAACAAUUCUGAAACGAAUUCUGUUUAAUUCUACUAAAUAUUAAUGCUGAAUUUUGCUGUAAAAUGCUUCCAUGCAUACAAGUGUACGCGUUCAAUUGUUCAUGUAUUUUUUAUUUUUCUUUCAGGUGCAAAAUGUAAUGAAGUGAAUUGACCCGCAAAAAGAAUGAUAACCCUUUCAACAUGCAUGAGUAAGUAGAAUUUAAUGCAUAUGUCAUGAUAGUUUCGCCUUAGUCGCAUUUGAGAACAAUUAUUCCAGCUUCAAAUUCGGGUACUCCGAAUUCCUGUCGUAACACCGACAGGCGUUAGGUAUUUAUGCAUGCCUUACGUUAUAAUUUUUUGUUCUGUACGUAUAACACGCGCUCAAAACCAAUUCUGAUUACAUUCAAAUUUUUAUUUUUCGACAUGUUUCUCAAUCGGCAAGCAAAUUUAGUGCUUUAUGUGUAAAAUAAUGCUAAAAUUAAGAUAUUUUAAAUGGUUCGCCAAUGAGAAAUGAUGUCUGAAGUUCAGUAUAAGACCCCAUUUGCACGGUACUGGCCGAAUUUGGAACCGGACUAGAAUUCGUCCGUUUCGGCCACACGAGAACCACGGAACCGGACGAAUUUGAGGCCCCCUAACAGGACGAAUUCGCGUGUAAACAGGCGAAAAAGGACGAAUUUCAGACCGGCCCCAAAUUCGUCCGGUACCGUGUAAGAGGGGUCUACGUUUUGCUCGUAUAUUGCUGUAGACAUGGCGUCACUUUUAAAGCAUCAUUGCUAAUUGUAUUUCAUUUUACUUUUCAGGUUGGAAGGAGGAAACCCGCGCUUAGGCGGACAAGAACUUUUUUACCUGCACAUUUUUAUUUCUGCCCGAUUUUUUUCAUACUCGGUCGUCGUCAGGACGCAAGACUUCAGAGACAAGGAGACGAGAAGAGCCCAGCUCGUCUGCCUUCAUUUCAAAACUCGCACAUCCAAAACUUAAGUGUAUUCAUGAAAACAUGCUUAGGCCUCUCUUAGGACUAGUUUAGGAUAUGGCAAACGAGCGUGAUGAACUUGUCAGAUUGAGUUAGUUAGGACUCAAUGCGUGAGAUAAACGCUUAGCUAGUCCCCUCAGUAUCUACCCCAAAACAUGAUCGCACAUUUUAUGUUUGUUCAUUGCUCAAUGUGGAGCACUAUAAUGGAAAAGAAGAAGAUUAAUGGUGGACGAAGAUUCACAAGGUAUUGUUUUGUGUUCUAAUCAUCUAAAUAUUUUCAUUUAUCAUUCAGGGUUUAUAGUUUAUAGUAGUUUUAUAGUUAAGUCUUGCCAACACAACUGCUAUAUACUUAUUUAUGUUUUAUUUUGUUGUUUUAGAAAACGGAAGCCUUUAUGAUGGGAUGUCUCUUAAUUACGAAUGCGAAUGCAAGUUGGCGUAAGCUGAUGAGAUUGAUGGCUCGAGCAUUUUCCCAGAGCUUCAUGCAGUAAUGAAAUAGGUUUGCACCGCGGGUACUCCAGUUUUUAGUCGACAUCACAGAGUGUCUCUGGGUACUCCAGAUUUAAACAAACACCACAGAUAUGAUUGACUCUGGGUAAUCCAGAUUUAAAUGAACACUACAAAUUUACACAGAGUAGCCCGAAUUUAGUUUAGCAUCGCAGAUUGUUUCUGGGUACUCCAGAUUGAAACAAACACCACAGAUUUUCGCCGGGUACUCCGGAUUAAUCAAACACUGCAAGGUUUUUCGAAUAUAGUCACCUAAGUGGUGACGUCAGCAGUGAUUUGAGGUAGUUAGACUUCAAUGAGGUAUGGAUGCUGAAAACAUUCAGGUAAAACGCUUGGACGAAGAACGAAAUGCCGAAUCCCGUGUACAAAUUCUCAGUGAUCUGAAGGUUGUGGUAGUGUAGGUCUGUGUGAGCAGUCCAGUGAUUUUCCAGCUCAGUUUCUACAACUAGAGCAUGCGCGGAACGGUUGAUAGCGAUGUUGAUUUCACGUGAUUUCCCGCGAGUUGUCCCUGCCCUCAGAUUUGAUGGAGAAGUACGUUGGAAAGGCGCCUUCCUAUAUGCGUGCUUUUUGUUCGAGUCUGGUGGAAGGGGCAUUUCAACUGGAAGCCUCGGGAAAUCGAUAUCGCUAUCAAUCGUUCUGCGCAUGCUCCAGUUGCAGAAACUGAGCUGGAAAAUCACUGGACUGCUCACACAGACCUACAACUACCAUAAACUUUAGGUCACUGAGAACUUGUAUGCAGGAUUAGACCUUCUGUUCUUCGUCCAAGCGUUCUGCUAGAAUGUUUUCACUAUCCAUUCUUUAAAGAGGUCUAACUGCUUUAAACCACUAAUGACGUUGUUGCUUAGAUGUCUGUAUUCGUACCCAGACUCGCUUGCUCACACACCCAUAAAUACUUAGCUGGCUUCUGGAGAAAAUCAACUUGAGUUGACAGCCUCGGUUUCUUCGGAAACUUUGCGUUUGCAUAAGAAAGAGUACCCAUGGCAAUCAAGUCUGAUGAUGACGUUCGACUCCAGACGACGUUGAGGCUACGAUGACGACGUCCUACCUUAGACGACGCUGAAACUACGAUGACGCGACGUGUAAAAUUACGGUUUGACGACUAACUCCCGGUAAAUCUUUGAAGGUGUAUAUAUGUUGCUAUGCCAGAACGCGUGCUCAGAAUCCUGUGUAAAGUAGUUCUAUUUAUUUUUUAUCAUAGUCUGGAUUCUGGGUACUAAUUAUCCUGGUGCUCUUAUUCCGGUAUAUUUGGGUUGGCUACGUUGCGAUGCAUGCGCGCUUAAACAUGGUUUAAAACUCGCGGGU
Molecule: non-coding RNA, 3533 nt
Organism: Paramuricea clavata
Lineage: Eukaryota; Metazoa; Cnidaria; Anthozoa; Malacalcyonacea; Plexauridae
Source: the annotation of a GenBank genome assembly